This 508-nucleotide ribosomal RNA is filed under the name uncultured bacterium. RNAcentral describes it as "partial 16S ribosomal RNA". It matches the Rfam family "Bacterial small subunit ribosomal RNA", at positions 28 to 523 of the family's 1533-position model. The record is from RNAcentral.
GAUGAACGCUAGCUACAGGCUUAACACAUGCAAGUCGAGGGGAAACGACAUCGAAAGCUUGCUUUUGAUGGGCGUCGACCGGCGCACGGGUGAGUAACGCGUAUCCAACCUGCCCACCACUUGGGGAUAACCUUGCGAAAGUAAGACUAAUACCCAAUGAUAUCUCUAGAAGACAUCUGAAAGGGAUUAAAGAUUUAUCGAUGAUGGAUGGGGAUGCGUCUGAUUAGCUCGUUGGCGGGGUAACGGCCCACCAAGGCGACGAUCAGUAGGGGUUCUGAGAGGAAGGUCCCCCACAUUGGAACUGAGACACGGUCCAAACUCCUACGGGAGGCAGCAGUGAGGAAUAUUGGUCAAUGGGCGAGAGCCUGAACCAGCCAAGUAGCGUGCAGGAUGACGGCCCUAUGGGUUGUAAACUGCUUUUAUAAGGGAAUAAAGUGGGAGUCGUGACUCUUUUUGCAUGUACCUUAUGAAUAAGGACCGGCUAAUUCCGUGCCAGCCGCCGCCGUAA